Long non-coding RNA from Rhipicephalus microplus (southern cattle tick), 246 nucleotides. The record is from RefSeq and is a predicted model, not a curated record. NCBI's taxonomy places the organism in Eukaryota, Metazoa, Arthropoda, Arachnida, Ixodida, Ixodidae.
CGAUAAGUUCUCUCACACACAAGGAUAAAGGAACUCGUGCUUCAGGUGUUUCACCCAGUCGGAUAAUGCGCAGAAUGAAGAAGGGUUGGCGACACAAAGGCUCAACUAAGAAUAAAGAGGGUAGGCUAACGAGCAGUGUCACUUGGAAAGGCCUAACCAAGAUGAAACGGCGAAAGCACGAUGGUAAGGGUAAAGUUACCAGCGAUUCAACGAAGAACGAUGUAACCAAGCAGAAUUCACCGCAGA